Molecule: unclassified non-coding RNA, 221 nt
Filed under: uncultured Solirubrobacterales bacterium
Lineage: Bacteria; Bacillati; Actinomycetota; Thermoleophilia; Solirubrobacterales
Description: contains 16S-23S intergenic spacer region
Source: RNAcentral
UCCGGUUUGUCACCGGCAGUCUCCCAUGAGUCCCCAACUUAAUGCUGGCAACAUGGAACGGGGGUUGCGCUCGUUGCGGGACUUAACCCAACAUCCCACGACACGAGCUGACGACAGCCAUGCACCACCUGUGAAAGUGUCCCGAAGGAAAACCGUGUUUCCACGGCUGUCACUUACAUGUCAAGCCCAGGUAAGGUGGGGAUGACGUCGACGUCAUAACC